UUUAUUCACAGUCACUGUACAUUAUAUUCAUUCAGGAAGAGUGGUCUAAUCUGUAGAGAGGAAGACUGAUUGUUUAUUUUGUUCUGCCUGCUGCACACUGGUUUGCACUGUGAGCUGCUGGGAACAGAGUUGCUCAGUGGGAAGGCCUUUCUGGACUGUGUGAUGGGGUAGGGAGAGCAAGAAGAGAGGAGAAGAAGACCUCCCAACAAAUUAACUGUCCCUAUCAAGGGGAGAAGGCAGAGGAAAGUAGUGAUAAUAGCUAGCAAAUUUGCUCAAGACUACAAAAGAGCUGAAGGUGCCACCAACCACAGAAAGGCAAUCCUCUUAUGGAAGCCUUCAGGAUUUCAUAAUUCUAUUGUGGUCUACUGCUCCAGAGAAGAGUAUCUUUUGGAGUUGUGAACAACAUCAUAUGAAAGCUGAACCUGAGUUUCUCAGGCCGAGGAAAAGGUUUCUACAUCUGAAAAUGAAUGUCACUGCAGACGUUGGAGACUGAAACCAAGGGCUUUAAAGGUCAUGGGAUUCAUUUGCAUUCAAUUG
This is a long non-coding RNA of Gallus gallus (chicken), 537 nucleotides long. The record is from Ensembl. NCBI's taxonomy places the organism in Eukaryota, Metazoa, Chordata, Aves, Galliformes, Phasianidae.